CGUUCCCGGGCCUUGUACACACCGCCCGUCACACCAUGGGAGUUGGUUUUACCCGAAGCCGGUGCGCUAACCCGCAAGGGGGGCAGCCGACCACGGUAAGGUCAGCGACUGGGGUG
This 116-nucleotide ribosomal RNA is filed under the name uncultured bacterium. Its description in RNAcentral is "partial 16S ribosomal RNA". It matches the Rfam family "Bacterial small subunit ribosomal RNA", at positions 1369 to 1482 of the family's 1533-position model. The record is from RNAcentral.